This is a long non-coding RNA of Oncorhynchus masou masou (cherry salmon), 266 nucleotides long. RefSeq lists it as uncharacterized. The record is from RefSeq and is a predicted model, not a curated record. The transcript is spliced from 4 exons. NCBI's taxonomy places the organism in Eukaryota, Metazoa, Chordata, Actinopteri, Salmoniformes, Salmonidae.
GUGGAGUACACUGAUGUGGUACACCGCCAACCUGUGGACCCUGCCAGAGUUCCCCUGAGAAAAGGGACCGAAACGGUGUGCAGUGAAGUCCAGAACUCCCCAACCAGUGCACCCGGUGACCAUUACCACUAUCAGGGUACGCCUAUCUCAGCGGUGACCAACCGGAGGUCAACCAGGACCUGCUGGAGGUCAAUCACCAGGACCACCGUGACCUGGAGUAAAGGUUACCUCUGAUCCCUCGUGACCCCUCACACUAGGACCACAAA